GAUGAACGCUGGCGGCGUGCCUAAUACAUGCAAGUCGAGCGAACGGACGAGAAGCUUGCUUCUCUGAUGUUAGCGGCGGACGGGUGAGUAACACGUGGAUAACCUACCUAUAAGACUGGGAUAACUUCGGGAAACCGGAGCUAAUACCGGAUAAUAUUUUGAACCGCAUGGUUCAAAAGUGAAAGACGGUCUUGCUGUCACUUAUAGAUGGAUCCGCGCUGCAUUAGCUAGUUGGUAAGGUAACGGCUUACCAAGGCAACGAUGCAUAGCCGACCUGAGAGGGUGAUGGCCAACACGGAAAAUGAGAAACGUUCGAGCCUCCGAGGGGAGGAAGAAGUAGGGAAUCUUCCGCAAUGGGAGAAAGCCUGAGGGAGAAACGCGGCGUGAGGGAGGAAGGUCUUCGGAUCGUAAAAUUUUUUUAUUAGGGAAGAAAAUAUGUGUAAGAACGUGUGAAAUUCUUGAGGUUACCUAAUAGGAAGGCCGGGCAAAACAAGGAC
This 497-nucleotide ribosomal RNA is filed under the name uncultured bacterium. RNAcentral describes it as "partial 16S ribosomal RNA". It matches the Rfam family "Bacterial small subunit ribosomal RNA", at positions 28 to 508 of the family's 1533-position model. The record is from RNAcentral.